CAAUAGCGUAUAUUAAAGUUGUUGCAGUUAAAAAGCUCGUAGUUGGAUUUCGGGGUGGCCUGGCUGGUCCGCCGCAAGGUGAGUACUGGUCAGCCGCCCUUCCUCUCGAAAGCCCCGACUGCUCUUUACUGCAGUGGUCGGGUAGUUCGGGACGUUUACUUUGAAAAAAUUAGAGUGUUCAAGGCAGGCUAUCGCCUGAAUACAUUAGCAUGGAAUAAUGGAAGAGGACCUCGGUCCUAUUUUGUUGGUUUCUAGGGCCGAAGUAAUGAUUAAGAGGGACAGUUGGGGGCAUUCGUAUUUAAUUGUCAGAGGUGAAACUCUUGGAUUUAUGAAAGACGAACUAGUGCGAAAGCAUUUGCCAAGGAUGUUUUCAUUAA
RNAcentral lists this ribosomal RNA (377 nucleotides) under uncultured eukaryote. Its description in RNAcentral is "partial 18S ribosomal RNA". It matches the Rfam family "Eukaryotic small subunit ribosomal RNA", at positions 592 to 976 of the family's 1831-position model. The record is from RNAcentral.